AUGGGAGCCGUGCAUGGUGUGUGCUACGGAAUGGUCGGCGACAACCUGCCCCCGCGGAGCGACGUCGUGCAACUGUACAAGUCCCGGAAUAUCCACGCCAUGCGCAUCUACAACCCGGACCAGGAGGCUCUUGCAGCCCUCCGCGGAAGUGGCAUCUUCCUCAUCCUCGAUGUCGGUGGGCUCGACGAGGUCCAACGCCUCGCCCGCGACCCGUCACAUGCCGCCAGCUGGGUCCGGAGCAACGUCCAGGCCUACUACCCGGACGUCCUCAUCCGGUACAUCGCCGUUGGCAACGAGGUCCCCGCCGGCGACACGGGCGUCAUCCUCCCCGCCAUGCAGAACGUGCACAAUGCCCUGGCGUCCGCCAACCUCUCCAGCAGCAUCAAGGUGUCAACGGCGGUGAGGUUCGACGUGAUCACCAACUCCUUCCCGCCCUCCAGCGGCGUGUUCAGGGACCCUUCUGGCUUGGUGCCCAUCGCGCGGUUCCUGGACCGCACCGGCGCCCCAUUCCUUGCCAACGUCUACCCCUACUUCGCUUACAAGGACGACCGUGGCCAGAACAUCAGGCUCAACUAUGCGACGUUCCAGCCGGGCACCACGGUGAGGGACAACGGCAACGGGCUGACCUACACCAGCCUCUUCGACGCGAUGGUCGACUCCAUCUACGCCGCGCUGGAGAAGGCCGGCACGCCCAACGUCAGAGUGGUGGUGUCGGAGAGCGGGUGGCCGUCGGCGGGCGGGUUCGGGGCAUCGGUGGACAAUGCGCGGAACUACAACCAGGGCCUCAUCGACCACAUCCGUAACGGCACGCCGAAACGGCCAGGGGCGAUCGAGACGUACAUAUUCGCCAUGUUUAACGAGAACAAGAAGCCAGGGGAUGAGGUCGAGAGGAACUUCGGGCUCUUCUUCCCCAACAAGCAGCCUGUCUACCCGACCACCUUCCCCAAUUAA
Molecule: ribosomal RNA, 951 nt
Filed under: Triticum aestivum (bread wheat)
Lineage: Eukaryota; Viridiplantae; Streptophyta; Magnoliopsida; Poales; Poaceae
Description: partial small subunit ribosomal RNA
Source: RNAcentral